AUACGAAGGGUGCAAGCGUUAAUCGGAAUUACUGGGCGUAAAGCGCGCGUAGGUGGUUUUGUAAGUUGGAGGUGAAAGCCCCGGGCUCAACCUGGGAAUUGCCUCCAAAACUGCAUGACUAGAGUACGGUAGAGGGUAGUGGAAUUUCCUGUGUAGCGGUGAAAUGCGUAGAUAUAGAAAGGAACACCAGUGGCGAAGGCGACUCCCUGGACUGAUACUGACACUGAGGGGCGAAAGCGUGGGGAGCAAACAGGAUUAGAUACCCUGGUAGUCCACGCCGUAAACGAUGUCAACUAGCCGUUGGGAUCCUUGAGAUCUUAGUGGCGCAGCUAACGCAUUAAGUUGACCGCCUGGGGAGUACGGCCGCAAGGUUAAAACUCAAAUGAAUUGGCGGGG
RNAcentral lists this ribosomal RNA (396 nucleotides) under uncultured bacterium. Its description in RNAcentral is "partial 16S ribosomal RNA". It matches the Rfam family "Bacterial small subunit ribosomal RNA", at positions 523 to 918 of the family's 1533-position model. The record is from RNAcentral.